CAAAAUCAUAUUUCCCUCUCCCACACCACGCGUCGCGCCUGUCUGAUUCCGCCCGCCAGCCACGCCCGCAGAUCUCGCUUCGGCGCCCUGAUUCCGUCGUAUGCAAGAUCACAGCCCUGCCUUCCAUCGUCGCCCCCAUGCCAUGCUCCCCUUCCAUCCUCGCUCACUUCCAGCCGCCAACGGAGCCCCCCGCGUACGUCUGGCAGAAACUGUAGAGACCGUCGAAGAUGGGGGCAGUCCUCGCCGACGCUGAAGCGCUUGAGCGCGCGGAUCUGAUCCUGCUGCGUUUCGGGGGUGACGGACCGGAGGAAGGAGACGUAAUCGUCGGCGUGGAAGCGGCAGAGGUCGCGGUCGCGGGCAGGGUGAGGGCGGAACACUUGCAUCUGGUCGAGGAGGCCGUAGCGGCCGAGCAGCGCGUGGGUCAUGCGGAUGCGGUGCGGCUUCAUCGGGUGGCAAUGCUCGUAGUAGCAGUUGCCCACCUCCGCGUCGUAGAAGUAGCAGACGCGGCGCUUCGACCCGUCCGCGCCAGUGGUCGGCAGGGAGUUGCCGCCGCCGCACAGCACGGCAAAGGGUGUGUCAGUCAGGGCGCGAGCACCAACUUUGCAUCCAUUAACUGCUCUGCUCAGAGCAUUAGGUGCGCUUCAGCGUCUAGCCAUUUGGCGGCUUGGGCUUUCUGCGGUUGGGAGGAACGGAGUCUUAAGAUUAGCGCUGUCGGUGUCGUCCUUGAGGUGGACGUCAACGGCGAGGAGCUCUUUUUCGUUGAUAAGUUUACCUCUGCGCGUCCCUGCUAACCGUUCCACAUAGUAUCACAAAAAAAAUGGCACUACCUUGGCAUCGUCUUCCCCAAUUCGGGUGUAUGGAAUUCUUGGAGCAAAGGACCAGCACACUGUCACCUCCAAAGAAAGACCCAGGCUGCUUCUACAAGGAGCUGUACAAAGUGCUUAACGACUGAAGAUUUUGGAUGAGAUGAUGGAUAAUGGUUUUCCACUCACAACUGAGCCAAACAUCUUGAAAGAGAUGAUCACCCCACCUAAUAUUGUGAACAAAAUGUUGAAUGUUGUUACUGGCAAGAGUUCUACCCUUGGCAGCAAACUUCCAGAUGCAGCUGCUUCUUUUGUACCUUGGCGAAGAACAACAGUCAAGGAUGCAAGCAAUGAAGUCUAUGUUAACAUAGUCGAGGAACUUGAUGCAUAUGUGAACAGAGAGGGGGUUCUUGUGAAAUGCGAAGCAUACGGUGAAGUCCAAGUAAACUGCAGCCUCCCAGGAUGACCACAUGUAAGCAAUAGAUGCUGCUACCAGCAAAAAGGGCCAGUCCUAGAGUUCCCUAUGGGUUAAAUAUCUUGUGUAGUCAUUUGUUCAGGAAGCCAGAGGCCUUGCUGCUGGACCAAGAUUAGUCCAAAGGUUAUCUGGUUUUGGGGACCAUCGAUCUGCAGACAAUGUGGCAAGAGUGGUAGAGGAAGAGCUUGCACAUGCCUCUAUGGUUUGUAUUGAUUUCUCAAAGAAUGCCAAGUGAUGGGUCGUGAACCAAGCAAUACUUUCCAAGACUUGAUAAAGGAGUACGAAGUUGUAAUGAAGGGUCCAUUCAACUACACGGCUCGUGAUGAAGCUGGUAUACCCCGAGAAUGGUUCAUGAUAGAUUAGCUUGUAUUGUUGAGAUGGAAAAAGAGAAUGCAAGUUUGGGAUAAGCAGUUGAAGUCUCAUCCUCCAAAGAACGUUGAAUCGGAAAUCUUGCGUGAGCAUAUCAAGAAAGAGAGGGAGACAACAAAGGCUGGAAAAUGACCAUACUAUCUGAAGAAACCUGAACUUCGCGAAAGGAAGCUGAUGAACAAGUACAACGAGCUCAAGGAGGCAGGAAAGCUUGAUGCAUUCAUGGAAAAGCGGUGGAGGAAGAAUGCCUCCAAAGAUCAUCGGUUCAUGCCGUACCGACGCAGUGGAGAUGUAUAAUAGUUUCCUGAUUCUGGAGGCGAGUGAAAGGAUGAUUUUAGGACGGUGUUCUCAUGGUGGCUGGACACUGGACAGUCAGUGUCUCUGUUACUUUGUUGCCCUAGCCGUACAAUCGUCAGCUCCGUGCACAAUCUCUACUACUUCUUAAGAAUAUAGUGCAGGCGUCCAUGGUGGUUUUUUAUGUUUCUCAUUUCACUCUCUGCAUUUUCAGUUACAACUAUACUGCAUAUGCUGGCAGAUUUGUUCAUAUAUUACUCCAGCUGACAUUUUCACUAUCGCAACAACAUCUCUACUACUAUUUGUUUUUUUGC
Molecule: RNA transcript, 2255 nt
Organism: Zea mays
Lineage: Eukaryota; Viridiplantae; Streptophyta; Magnoliopsida; Poales; Poaceae
Gene name: ribosomal RNA processing protein 36 homolog
Exons: 12
Source: RefSeq, marked validated